GACGAACGCUGGCGGCGUGCCUAAUACAUGCAAGUUGAGCGAUGAAGAUUGGUGCUUGCACCAAUUUGAAGAGCAGCGAACGGGUGAGUAACGCGUGGGGAAUCUGCCUUUGAGCGGGGGACAACAUUUGGAAACGAAUGCUAAUACCGCAUAACAACUUUAAACAUAAGUUUUAAGUUUGAAAGAUGCAAUUGCAUCACUCAAAGAUGAUCCCGCGUUGUAUUAGCUAGUUGGUGAGGUAAAGGCUCACCAAGGCGAUGAUACAUAGCCGACCUGAGAGGGUGAUCGGCCACAUUGGGACUGAGAAACGGCCCAAACUCCUACGGGAGGCAGCCGUAGGGAAUCUUCGGCAAUGGACGAAAGUCUGAACGAGCAACGCCGCGUGAGUGAAGAAGGUUUUCGGAUCGUAAAACUCUGUUGGUAGAGAAGAACGUUGGUGAGGGUGGAAAGCUCAUCAAGUGACGGUAACUACACAGAAAGGGACGGCUAACUACGUG
Molecule: ribosomal RNA, 497 nt
Filed under: uncultured bacterium
Lineage: Bacteria
Description: partial 16S ribosomal RNA
Rfam family: Bacterial small subunit ribosomal RNA
Source: RNAcentral